This 800-nucleotide ribosomal RNA is filed under the name uncultured bacterium. RNAcentral's name for it is "bacterial SSU rRNA". It matches the Rfam family "Bacterial small subunit ribosomal RNA", at positions 122 to 925 of the family's 1533-position model. The record is from RNAcentral.
CAAUCUACCUUUCACAAAGGGAUAGCCCAGAGAAAUUUGGAUUAAUACCUUAUAGUAAUACGACUUGGCAUCAAGAUGUAUUUAAAGAUUUAUCGGUGAAAGAUGAGCAUGCGUCCCAUUAGCUUGUUGGUAAGGUAACGGCUUACCAAGGCAACGAUGGGUAGGGGUCCUGAGAGGGAGAUCCCCCACACUGGUACUGAGACACGGACCAGACUCCUACGGGAGGCAGCAGUGAGGAAUAUUGGACAAUGGGCGCAAGCCUGAUCCAGCCAUGCCGCGUGCAGGAUGACGGUCCUAUGGAUUGUAAACUGCUUUUGUACAGGAAGAAACCCUUUCACGUGUGGAAGAUUGACGGUACUGUAAGAAUAAGGAUCGGCUAACUCCGUGCCAGCAGCCGCGGUAAUACGGAGGAUCCAAGCGUUAUCCGGAAUCAUUGGGUUUAAAGGGUCCGUAGGCGGUCAAGUAAGUCAGUGGUGAAAGCCCAUCGCUCAACGGUGGAACGGCCAUUGAUACUGCUUGACUUGAAUUAUUAGGAAGUAACUAGAAUAUGUAGUGUAGCGGUGAAAUGCUUAGAGAUUACAUGGAAUACCAAUUGCGAAGGCAGGUUACUACUAAUGGAUUGACGCUGAUGGACGAAAGCGUGGGUAGCGAACAGGAUUAGAUACCCUGGUAGUCCACGCCGUAAACGAUGGAUACUAGCUGUUGGGAGCAAUCUCAGUGGCUAAGCGAAAGUGAUAAGUAUCCCACCUGGGGAGUACGUUCGCAAGAAUGAAACUCAAAGGAAUUGACGGGGGCCCGCA